Long non-coding RNA from Panicum virgatum (switchgrass), 4607 nucleotides. RefSeq lists it as uncharacterized. The transcript is spliced from 2 exons. The record is from RefSeq and is a predicted model, not a curated record. NCBI's taxonomy places the organism in Eukaryota, Viridiplantae, Streptophyta, Magnoliopsida, Poales, Poaceae.
GGCUUUCUCUCGCUCGCUUCCCCCGCAUCCUCGUCGACGCCCCCCAUGGCCACGGCCGUCUCCCUCCCGCUCCCUCGCCGCGCAUCCUCCUCCGCUCCCGUGGCCGCCGCCCGCCGCCCCGGGUCCCCGUCGCUGCGCAGGCGGCGGCAUUGCGCCGUCGUCACGCCCGUCGCCGCAGCAUGCAGACCUGACGCAGACGAGGAAGGCUCCGGGCCUGGGCGGCGGCAGGUGCUCGUGGCGGGUGCCGCCGCGGCCGCCGCGUUUGUUACCCGGCCCAAUCCGGCGGCAUGUGAGUUGCCCUUCCAAUUUACGAUCGCCUUCAAAUGCUCGCCUUCUGCAGUACCCACUCCACUUACUUAAUUUGCUGGUCACAUUUCACUUGGAAUAUGGUUUAUUUGGUCAAAACUGAGUGCCAUUCUGAUCUGCUAUAGUCGCAGCAGAGUCUAAGAAAGGGUUCCUGCCUGUCGUGGACAAGAAGGCUGGUUACUCCUUCCUAGCGUCAAACACCAGCCGCACUCUCCUGAGUCCUAAUCCUAUCAGAACAGGACAUGCGAGACAGCACAUCUUAUCCCGUUGGGAAUGGGAUCAAUCUGCAGCGCGGUCCGUCCAAACGGAACGUUCAGGUGCUGCAGCGCAGGGUCUAGAACUCUAGAUGCUUCAUUUAUUCGGAUCAGUUUAUGGUAUUUGUGCUUGGACUGACGUGCCGAUGCGAUCCGGUCGAAUCGGAACGCGUCCAUUUUCAUGAUGAGAAGCUUUUACGACGAUAAUCGCAAGUGCAAAACGCGUGUCAGACGAAGGCGCAAGCUGGCCAGUUCCCCUUCCCCAUAUAUAUACUGCACUUUUUCUUUCUCUUUUUUGACAGAGAGAUCAAAUCCUAGCCGUUGACUAACAUAAUGGUCUUAUUUUUCUAACAGAUUUACUUCUUUUAAGGUGACUUAUUUUUUGUAUUUGUGUAAGUCGAUUGCGAGCAUUCGAUCUAUGGCCAACCGGGCCUGCUUUCUCUAUCUUGCGUUGUACGCCGAGUGGGUUGGUGGUAAGUAGUUACCUGUUUGUUUGUUGUCCAUUCAACCAGUGUAUCGAUCCACUCUCUCGUCCUCCCGUUCUUAUCCAUUCCUGUUCGCCUCCAUGCGCCCACGCCGCUGAGCCUCGCCGAGCCGAGAACCCACCCGCCGCCCCUGUGCUUGUGUUGCCCCCGUGCUCCUCACGGCUGCCUCCGCCUGUUCUGUCCCCGCCCCGGCCGGCGGGAACUCGGGCCUCCUCGCCGCGGCCGGAGAGAAAUGGCGACGGCUGCAAAGCCGCCCGCGCCGGCGGCGGCAGCGACAGGAGCACGGCGGAGUACUCCGGUUGGUGUACCACCUCGGUGUCAACUCCAUCGGCCAUGAGUACCUUCCUCAUCAACUUCUUCCUCUCCCCUGUUCUCUUGUUCCUUUCUCGUGAGGAGCAGUUAGACUGAUGAUUUGGGAUUUGUUAGGGGUCGAAUCGAGAUUGUAGUUGUUCGAUGUUGAAUUGAGAUGUAUGUGGCUUGGAUUUGAGGAUUAUCUAUUGAUUAGGGUUCCAGGUUCAGGGUCUUUGUAGUUAUUGAACUGAGAUUGUCGAGUGGGGAGUGGGGUGUGAAUCGAAGACCUAGGCUGUUGUGUCAUCGACCUCGAUGACAAUUAAUCUCGAGCAGUCAGGUUUCAGAUGUUGGGAUUCAGAUGUUGGGAAUUCUCUUCCCCUGUGUCUGUCCAUUAUCCCCCAUGUUAUUUAAUGAGUAUAAGUCCUGUUGUUCUAUCAGUUCCCCACUUGUUUUUGGAAAUUUGAUCUUUGUUUUUGGACGCUUACUUCAGAGUUGUUUUUUUACAGUUAAUUCACACCAUCAUGUGUUGUUUGUCUUAUUUUCCAUGCCUUUAAAAUGGCAUCACCGUGAUCAUAAACCUAUUUCCAUGUGCAUUUAAAUACUAUUUUACUUAUGUUCAGGAUGUGUAUGGAUCUGUUUGCAAGAUGUGUACACCUCUCAUUGCGGUUUUGGUUAGGCUUACAUGUGGUUUUGAAUCCUGAACACCAGUAAACCCUAAACCAGUGCUCGUGAUGCACUAACUGAUCUUAAAUGUUGUAUUUUAUAUUUUGGCCACCUGAUCAUCUGUGCUUGUAAUGAACCAACAUUGACCUCAAAUAUCUGCAGUCUGAAAGAUGUUGUCAAGGUUGUAGUUUUAUUUGCCUUUUGUUUUCAUCAGACUAGAAGUUGUCAAGGUCAGAGUUUUAUCCGCAGUUUGGCUUAGAGGAAGUACCAGGUGAAGUAUGUUUGCCAUCUAUUUAUCUCCUACCCCUACUUGCAUUGGCUUGAAAUAUCUGAAGUGUUGUAUUUAAUCUGUCUAGUCGAAUUUGAUAUUUUGCCAAGCUGCAAGCUGUGUGUAAGCGGCCUACUCUUAUUCAACUGUUAUCUGUGAGAAAUGUUGUCAAAUAGACCAUGAAAUUUGAUGUUUUCUUUUGUUCAGCUGUCAAGCUUCUUAAAAAUACACUUGGUGUCUCUUGUUUUCUGACUGUAUCUCACGAUUUAUUAAUUUGAGUAAAAGAGAUUUUUUUUUGCAAAACUUCUUGCAUAGCUAUUACUAUCGCUAUUUUGCCAGCGGAGAGUGUUCCUUUCUGUAGCUAGAUUUUUCUUGUAUAUGCUAAUUAGCAGACUAUAUCUCUUAGAUUGGCUCCCUCUGGAUGACUUCAAGGUCUGUCACUUAUCUGUACUAAACAAUUCAUUUUUAUUUAGACAUUUGUUUCAUCCACCAGGCUAUAAGCUAACAUGUAUUUGAUUGUUGGUCUAGUAGUUUAUAAGUUGAGGAACUACCAGGUCCAGUUUUUUUUAUUUGGCAUCUAUGCUUGUGAUGCUCCAUCUUUUACUUGGAUUAUCUACACUCUGAUCUGAAAUGUUUCAUUUAAUCUGGUCAAUUGCAAUCUAUAUAUUUUUGCCAUCCUUUUGCUUUCCGACUCUGAGUGGGGAUUCGUUAAAUAUUGACAAAUACAACAAUAUUUACCUAGACUUGAAUUGUUGUGAUAUAUAUAGAUUGCUUGCAACCUCGCUAAUUCCUUCUCAAAUUAUCAUCACAUCCAGUGGAUCCUUUACUCUAUUUUGCAAUAUAUAGUUUGUACAUACAAUUAACACUAUAGUUUGCCCUGUCUGAUUUCCUGAGUCAUGUAGCACUACUGCAAUUAGAAGUAGUGCAUUUUGGUCCAUGUGAACUCUUUCAAAUACGCUACUCUAUGACUGAAUGUUUUUGCUUUCCUGCCUGUCCUAUCCCUUUUAUUGGUUACUCAUUCCAGGUUGAAAACAUCAUUCAUUGAAAUUUUGAAUUACAAAUAGCUUAUACUAGAAUUACAACCUGACUCAUUAUUGUAAUUUUCUUGGUUGUUACUGUAAAAUGUUAGAGCAGCUUGUAUUUUGGUUACUGUAAUUUUCUCACAUCAGUUCUUCAUAUAGCUGUAUUUGGGAUAGGUUGUGGAAACAUGAUUGUUGAUAUAUCCAAAUCACAUUGUGGGAGAAUAUUUGAAGUAGGGCCAAUUACAUUGCUAAAUGUUCUUUCAUAUUAGCUUAUUCAAAUUGACUUUUUGCAACACCAGUUUCCUAUUUAGCAAUCUGACCAUUCUCUGUGUUCCAUAACCUACCAGAUUGGUUCCUCUUCCUAUGUCCAUUAUAUUUUUAUGACAGUAACCCAUGUCUCGUGUUAAGUAUAUAGUGUUGAGUCUUUGUGUAUCUUUCUAUUUUAAUUAAGUUAGCAGUCGAUGAGCUAUUUAGCUGAACAUGUCAGUGUUGUUAGCAGCUCCUAGUCUUUAGGGAGUGGAGUCAGGAGAGCCACUUGUUCUCCUCAAGAUGUAUCCUUAAUUUUUUAGAGGCCAUCAUGGCCAUUAGCAUCUUCCACUAAGGCCUUCUUUUACCGUUCUAUAUGUAAGAGAACAAGAUAAUACCAAAGUUGUGGUUGCAACAAGAAUACUAGUGUGUCUUACUCUUUUCGUUUGGUGAGUUGAGAGCUUAAGAUUUAUUGUGGACUCAAUCUGCAAAUACACCCUCCUUAGUGUUGUAAUUUUGUAGUUUAUUACUAUCAAACAUAAUAGUGAGCAAUACUUCACUAGGAUUUUAGAUGCCAAAUAUACCCAAGUAUUUUAGUUUCUCCCGGACCUGUUACUUUCUAGGAUUGCAGGAAUGAUUUUAGAUGCCAAAUAUACCCAAGUAUUUUAGUUUCUCCCUGACCUGUUACUUUCUAGGAUUGCAGGAAUGGAGUUGAUGAGUUGAGAACUCAGUAUUUGCAGGCUACACAGCCAUGUUUUGACAAGUGCAUUGAGAAGAGGUACACCUGAUUUUAUACAGACAAGUGCACUGAGAAGAGGUACACCAGAUUAAAUAUGAAUUGUAUGUCUUUGAUCUUGUUUAAAUUAAGAAUUUCAUGUUCCUAUUUUUUGUCAUAAUAGUUUCACUGAGCCCUAAUUUGAUCAAAGUUGACUUUGAUUUUCAAGUAAAGGUUUUGUUUGUCAGUGUCAUAGGGAAAAUUUGUAUUGCUCUAUGUAGCUCCUUUACAUGUAUUCCUAUAUGUGGUUGUUGUUUGGUCAUUUUUUGGUUAAUUAGCACACCUGAUCAAUGGCUA